RNAcentral lists this ribosomal RNA (90 nucleotides) under uncultured bacterium. Its description in RNAcentral is "partial 16S ribosomal RNA". The record is from RNAcentral.
CACACCGCCCGUCACACCAUGGGAGUUGUUUCUGCCUUAAGUCGGUGAGCCAAUCUGGCAGCCGCCCACGGCAGGAUGAUGACUGGGGUG